AGAAAGUCCGCCAUCUUGUAUGAAGUCGCUGGAUGCCUGGGCUGAGAAUAGCGACGGGAUUAACACGGCCGGGAGCCUUUUCGGGGCCACAUGGCGCGCGUCAAGGGCCAGCUGGGCUCAUACAAUAACACAGCCAUAAUCCGAGUCCCAUUCACACACACACAGAGCCAGAGUCUGACUGAACCCCAUUCACACACACAGAGCCAGAGUCUGACUGAACCCCAUUCACACACACAGAGCCAGAGUCUGACUGAACCCCAUUCACACACACACACAGAGCCAGAGUCUGACUGAACCCCAUUCACACACACAGAGCCAGAGUCUGACUGAACCCCAUUCACACACACACACAGAGCCAGAGUCUGACUGAACCCCAUUCACACACACAGAGCCAGAGUCUGACUGAACCCCAUUCACACACACAGAGCCAGAGUCUGACUGAACCCCAUUCACACACACAGAGCCAGAGUCUGACUGAACCCCAUUCACACACACACACACACACAGAGCCAGAGUCUGACUGAAUCCCAUUCACACACACAGAGCCAGAGUCUGACUGAAUCCCAUUCACACACACAGAGCCAGAGUCUCUGACUGAACCCCAUUCACACACACAGAGCCAGAGUCUGACUGAACCCCAUUCACACACACAGAGCCAGAGUCUGACUGAACCCCAUUCACACACACAGAGCCAGAGUCUGACUGAACCCCAUUCACACACACAGAGAGCCAGAGUCUGACUGAACCCCAUUCACACACACAGAGCCAGAGUCUGACUGAACCCCAUUCACACACACAGACAGAGCCAGAGUCUGACUGAAUCCCAUUCACACACCCAGAGUCUGACUGAACCCCAUUCACACACACAGACAGAGCCAGAGUCUGACUGAAUCCCAUUCACACACCCAGAGUCUGACUGAAUCCCAUUCACACACCCAGAGUCUGACUGAAUCCCAUUCACACACCCAGAGUCUGACUGAACCCCAUUCACACACCCAGAGUCUGACUGAACCCCAUUCACACACACAGAGCCAGAGUCUGACUGAACCCCAUUCACACACACAGAGCCAGAGUCUGACUGAACCCCAUUCACACACACAGAGUCUGACUGAACCCCAUUCACACACCCAGAGCCAGAGUCUGACUGGACCCCAUUCACACACACAGAGCCAGAGUCUGACUGGACCCCAUUCACACACACAGAGCCAGAGUCUGACUGGACCCCAUUCACACACACAGAGCCAGAGUCUGACUGGACCCCAUUCACACACACACAGAGCCAGAGUCUGACUGAAUCUCAUUCACACACACACACAGAGCCAGGGUCUGACUGACAGAGCCAGAGUCUGACUUCACACACACACAGAGCCAGAGUCUGACUGAAUCCCAUUCACACACACACAGAGCCAGAGUCUGACUGAAUCCCAUUCACACACACACAGAGCCAGAGUCUGACUGAAUCCCAUUCACACACACACAGAGCCAGAGUCUGACUGAAUCCCAUUCACACACACACACAGAGCCAGGGUCUGACUGAAUCCCAUUCACACACACACACAGAGCCAGGGUCUGACUGAAUUCCCAUUCACACACACACACAGAGCCAGGGUCUGACUGUAUCCCAUUCACACUGGCUGGAGCUAUAGCCCUAGAUAAAGUUCAGUGAAUUGUUAAAAAUUAAAAGUAAUAUUCAUAUUGGAUGUCACAUUUGGCAAAAACCACUGCCUCUAAGCAUACAAAUUGAGAUUCCUCUCUAUUUUCAGCAGAAAACCUGCUCUUCUCACCUGAGGAAGCCAUUCCUGACCUGAUCUGAAUUUGUAUUUGCGCCGCUGAGUGCUACAAGCAUUUGUGCAGUCUGAGGCCUAUGGCCAAAAUCGAGGUGGAUGAUACAGCUGCUCCCUGCUCUGUAUCUGUUGUGACUUAUGUUUGGGCUAUUUCCACCCACCUCUGAACUGGUAAGGGUUAUCCCGGUCUCCAAUGGAGUGCAUACUUUGCCCCCAAAGAAACUGUCGCUGUCCAUAUCGGUUUGUUGCACAGGGUCUUACCUUUACGAUGGCCACUGCCAUGCGGCUUUCUGCAAGGCCUUUCCUUAUGGUUCCGUUCUCACCCAUGGUUCUGCUAGUGCAGUCUUUCGACUAGCUUUGCCUGUAGUUUUGGGCUACAGUAAGCAAACGCCUUGAUAGUGUCUUACCUGAGCUCCAAGAAAAGAAUAGCAAGCCGACCACUAUGAAACAGCUCCACUACACAUUUCUAGUCUUGUUACCUCAUACCUGGGCCGAGAACCCAUGGUUAUUAUUCCUUCUGCACAGCCUUGGAGGGCAUUUGACCGAUUAUAUCCACCACAUACUGAUGGAUCCUCCCGUGAAACUGAUUUUGGAGCAGAUGAAAGACAGAUCAGUGGAUAUUAUGUGCAGGCUUUUGUGGCAGCCUAGGGCUGGUGGAACAGACACUUUAAAGGGUCUGUGUUUCCAUCUGUGAGCAAUUAGCCUUUCACCGAAAUUGGACUGUGAGCUUAGUGUGAAUCAUUUACAUUUUCCUUUCGCAAAUUACCAGUAGUACUUUAAAUUUACAUGUUGGUGUGUUUUGCCCACCAGAUCAGACCCGUCUUAACAGCUUUAUAGGCCCCGAGGCAAAGCAGUGCAACAGGGCCCUGCCUAUACAACUGCUCACAAUAAUUAAAAUGUAAAUUAUCGAUACAAUUAAACUUAUAUUUAUUGGUAUCUCUGACAACAUGGAAAAUGUAUUCACACUUACUGUAAUAUUCUUUUACUGGCUAAUAUUCAUGGCAGCAUUUAACGAAUGGGCUAGCUCCUCCCUCCAGCUAAUAGGACAGAGAAAAACAACCUGACAAUUAAGAUUAGGUUAUAAAAGAUUCCCAUAGACACUUAUACUCUAGUCUAGUAAAAAGUUGGGUGGGAAACCUAAAUGCUGACAUGAAUAUUAGCCAGGUAAAGAAAAUCAUGCUAAGUAUAAAUAAUUUUUCUGUGUUCCUGGUUAAUCAUGG
Pelobates cultripes (western spadefoot toad) is the source of this 3004-nucleotide non-coding RNA. NCBI's taxonomy places the organism in Eukaryota, Metazoa, Chordata, Amphibia, Anura, Pelobatidae. The record is from the annotation of a GenBank genome assembly.